This 253-nucleotide ribosomal RNA is filed under the name uncultured bacterium. Its description in RNAcentral is "partial 16S ribosomal RNA". It matches the Rfam family "Bacterial small subunit ribosomal RNA", at positions 524 to 776 of the family's 1533-position model. The record is from RNAcentral.
UACGUAGGAGGCAAGCGUUGUCCGGAAUUACUGGGUGUAAAGCGCGUGUAGGCGGCAGGCCAAGUCUGUGGUGAAAUCGCUCGGCUCAACUGGGCGGGGUCCAUGGAAACUGGUCAGCUGGAGGACGGUAGAGGUGAGUGGAAUUCCCGGUGUAGUGGUGAAAUGCGUAGAGAUCGGGAGGAACACCCGUGGCGAAGGCGGCUCACUGGCUCGUAUCUGACGCUCAGGCGCGACAGCGUGGGGAUCAAACAGG